AGCAAUGGAUGAUGGCGACCGGCGUAAGGGUGCGUAACGCGUGAGCAACAUGCCCUAUACAGGAGGAUACUCCGGGGAAACCCGGUCUAAUACUCCAUAGUAUUAUUGAGAGGCAUCUCUUAAUAAUUAAAGCUUCGGUGGUAUAGGAUUGGCUCGCGUGACAUUAGCCAGAUGGUGAGGUAACGGCUCACCAUAGCAAUGAUGUCUAGGGGUUUUGAGAGGAAGGCCCCCCACACUGGGACUGAGACACGGCCCAGACUCCUACGGGAGGCAGCAGUGAGGAAUAUUGGACAAUGGAUGGAAAUCUGAUCCAGCCAUGCCGCGUGCAGGAAGACGGCCUUAUGGGUUGUAAACUGCUUUUAUACGGGAGCAAUAAGGGUUACGAGUAAUCCGAUGAGAGUACUGUAUGAAUAAGGAUCGGCUAACUCCGUGCCAGCAGCCGCGGUAAUACGGAGGAUCCGAGCGUUAUCCGGAAUUAUUGGGUUUAAAGGGUGCGUAGGCGGCCAUUUAAGUCAGCGGUGAAAUUUUGCAGCUUAACUGUAACAGUGCCGUUGAAACUGGGUGGCUAGGAUUUGGUUGCAGUGUGCGGAAUGUGUGGUGUAGCGGUGAAAUGCUUAGAUAUCACACAGAACACCAAUUGCGAAGGCAGCACACUAAGUCAAUAUUGACGCUGAGGCACGAAAGUGUGGGGAUCAAACAGGAUUAGAUACCCUGGUAGUCCACACUGUAAACGAUGAUAACUCGCUGCCGGCGAUACAUAGUCGGUGGCCAAGCGAAAGCAUUAAGUUAUCCACCUGGGGAGUACGACCGCAAGGUUGAAACUCAAAGGAAUUGACGGGGGCCCGCACAAGCGGAGGAACAUGUGGUUUAAUUCGAU
This 877-nucleotide ribosomal RNA is filed under the name anaerobic digester metagenome. Its description in RNAcentral is "bacterial SSU rRNA". It matches the Rfam family "Bacterial small subunit ribosomal RNA", at positions 76 to 955 of the family's 1533-position model. The record is from RNAcentral.